Molecule: long non-coding RNA, 783 nt
Organism: Sinocyclocheilus anshuiensis
Lineage: Eukaryota; Metazoa; Chordata; Actinopteri; Cypriniformes; Cyprinidae
Exons: 3
Source: RefSeq, a predicted model, not a curated record
CUUUCCCAAGAUAUACAGCCCUAAAAUCCAUAUUCAAAUAUAAUUACACAAGUUUAAGAGACAAAUCAAUCCGAACACAUUAAGAUGUGGUUAAAAGUCUUUUUAUUGGUUACAAUAUCAGUGUAUGGCAGCAUUAUCACCAGGUUACUUUACAAAUACGAAAAAGUUGAGAAACGAAAUGUUAUUAAAUGAUUAUUUGAAAAUAUGGCACUGUGAAAGUACACAAGGUACCACACUCCUGGUUUUAUUGGCUCAAAGAAAGAAGAGGAAAAAAAAGAUUAUGAAGCUUACAAAUCGAGCCAAAAGUAUCUUAUGAAUACUUAAAACAUUGGGGUUCUAACAUGUACUGUAAUACUAAAAAUGUUCUUUUGUUGCCAAGUUUGAGUGGUUUGGAAAUAAUUGGGAAAAAAAACCUAAACGCAUUUGGAAAAGUCAUCCAUGGUUUUCAUUAAAGCUCUGGAAGACUACAUCAGCAUUUCAGCCACUCUUACGGCAGCUAUAUGUUAAAACUGCCGAUUUCAGCUGAUCCAGAACCAACCACUCAAAUCUUCAACAUGAUCAUAAUAAAACAACCACAAAAAGAAUCACUGAUUGGCAAUCUUGCAACCUCUACAGUACCGACAACAGAAAUCUGACUUAAAUCUAACCAAUACUUAUAAUACCAGCAUAAUUCCUGUUUAAAUUGAAUUCAAAGUGACUUCUAAAUGAGACAUUAUUACCAAAGACAUCCCUUUUCACAGUUAAUCAUCAUAAAAUUCAGCAAAAAACAUCUAUGCAGCAGUG